CCCCUCCCAGGAUUGCACCUGGAGAGUUUCCAGUAUCUACCAGUCUCAGAUAUGGGAGGGAGAGUCAAGCAGAGGCCUGUCCAUUCCAUUCCCAUCUUGGGCAGUGGCUGGUGAGUGGAAGGCCAUCGGCUACAAAU
This is a small nucleolar RNA of Tachyglossus aculeatus (Australian echidna), 137 nucleotides long. The record is from RefSeq and is a predicted model, not a curated record. Lineage: Eukaryota; Metazoa; Chordata; Mammalia; Monotremata; Tachyglossidae.